GAUUCGGGAUUGCAAUGAGCCGAAUUUACACCCCUUAGCGAGGAUCGAUUGGAGGGCAAGUCUGGUGCCAGCAGCCGCGGUAAUUCCAGCUCCAAUAGCGUAUAUUAAAGUUGUUGCAGUUAAAAAGCUCGUAGUUGGAUUUCUGGGAGGGUGCCAAUGUCCGUCGUCGUACGUGUUGCAGCGGCGCCCUUCCAUCCUUCUGUUAACGACUUUGGGCAUUCACUUGCCGGAGUCGGGCUCAGAUAUUUUACCUUGAGAAAAUUAGAGUGUUUCAGGCAGGCUAGGCCGGAAUACAUUAGCAUGGAAUAAUGGAAUAGGACUACGGUCUCUUUGUUGGUUUGAGGGACUGCAGUAAUGAUUAAUAGGGGUAGUUGGGGGCAUUAGUAUUUAAUUGUCAGAGGUGGAAUUCUCGGAUUUGUUAAAGACUAACUUAUGCGAAAGCAUUUGCCAAGGAUGUUUUCAUUAAUCAAGAACGAAAGUUAGGGGAUCAAAGACGAUCAGAUACCGUCCUAGUCUUAACCAUAAACUAUGCCGACUCGGGAUCGGGGGCGCGAACUAUCCGCCUUCGGC
Molecule: ribosomal RNA, 570 nt
Filed under: uncultured ciliate
Lineage: Eukaryota; Ciliophora
Description: SSU rRNA
Rfam family: Eukaryotic small subunit ribosomal RNA
Source: RNAcentral